This 1464-nucleotide ribosomal RNA is filed under the name metagenome. RNAcentral describes it as "bacterial SSU rRNA". It matches the Rfam family "Bacterial small subunit ribosomal RNA". The record is from RNAcentral.
AGAGUUUGGUCCUGGCUCAGAACGAACGCUGGCGGCAGGCCUAAAACAUGCAAGUCGAACGAUCUAGCAAUAGAUAGUGGCGCACGGGUGAGUAACGCGUGGGAAUAUGCCCUUCACUACGGAACAACGUCGGGAAACUGACGCUAAUACCGUAUAAUGACUCCGGUCCAAAGAUUUAUCGGUGAAGGAUUAGCCCGCGUCUGAUUAGCUAGUUGGUGAGGUAACGGCUCACCAAGGCGACGAUCAGUAGGGGGUCUGAGAGGAUGAUCCCCCACACUGGAACUGAGACACGGUCCAGACUCCUACGGGAGGCAGCAGUUAGGAAUAUUGGACAAUGGGGGCAACCCUGAUCCAGCCAUGCCGCGUGUGUGAAGAAGGCCUUAGGGUUGUAAAGCACUUUCAGCUGUGAAGAUAAUGACAGUAGCAGCAGAAGAAGCUCCGGCUAAAUUCGUGCCAGCAGCCGCGGUAAUACGAAUGGAGCGAGCGUUGUUCGGAAUCACUGGGCGUAAAGGGUGCGCAGGCGGUCAUGAGAGUCAGAAGUGAAAUCCCAGGGCUUAACCCUGGAAUGGCUUUUGAAACUCCAUGACUAGAGUACUGGAGAGGUUGGCGGAAUUCCAAGUGUAGCAGUGAAAUGCGUAGAUAUUUGGAGGAACACCAAUGGCGUAGGCAGCCAACUGGACAGUUACUGACGCUCAUGCACGAAAGCGUGGGGAUCAAACAGGAUUAGAUACCCUGGUAGUCCACGCCCUAAACGAUGUGUGCUAGUUAUCGGGCCCUUUAGGGUUCGGUGACGCAGCUAACGCUUUAAGCACACCGCCUGGGGAGUACGGUCGCAAGAUUAAAACUCAAAGGAAUUGACGGGGACCCGCACAAGCGGUGGAGCAUGUUGUUUAAUUCGAAGCAACGCGAAGAACCUUACCUACACUUGACAUACCUCUUAGGACUUUCAGAGAUGAUUGUUUUCAGUUCGGCUGGGGAGAGUACAGGUGCUGCAUGGCUGUCGUCAGCUCGUGUCGUGAGAUGUUGGGUUAAGUCCCGCAACGAGCGCAACCCUUAUCGUAUGUUGCCAGCAUUUAGUUGGGCACUCAUGCGAGACUGCCGGUGAUAAGCCGGAGGAAGGCGGGGACGACGUCAAGUCAUCAUGCCCCUUACGUGUAGGGCUACAAACGUGCUACAAUGGCGGUGACAGUGGGCAGCGCGGCAGUGAUGCCAAGCUAAUCCCAAAAAGCCGUCUCAGUUCAGAUUGUAGUCUGCAACUCGACUACAUGAAGUUGGAAUCGCUAGUAAUCGUGAAUCAGCAUGUCACGGUGAAUACGUUCCCGGGUCUUGUACACACCGCCCGUCACACCAUGGGAGUUGGUUUUACCCGAACGCCGUGCGCUAACCACGGAGGCAGCGGACCACGGUAGGAUCAAUGACUGGGGUGAAGUCGUAACAAGGUAGCCGUUUCGGAAGGAGCGGCUG